GAUCAUGGCUCAGGACGAACGCUGGCGGCGUGCCUAAUACAUGCAAGUAGAACGCUGAAGGAGGAGCUUGCUUCUCUGGAUGAGUUGCGAACGGGUGAGUAACGCGUAGGUAACCUGCCUGGUAGCGGGGGGAUAACUAUUGGAAACGAUAGCUAAUACCGCAUAAUAGUAGAUGUUGCAUGACAUUUGCUUGAAAGGUGCAAUUGCAUCACUACCAGAUGG
RNAcentral lists this ribosomal RNA (222 nucleotides) under uncultured bacterium. RNAcentral describes it as "partial 16S ribosomal RNA". It matches the Rfam family "Bacterial small subunit ribosomal RNA", at positions 15 to 228 of the family's 1533-position model. The record is from RNAcentral.